GAAUAUUGGGCAAUGGGCGCAAGUCUGACCCAGCCAUGCCGCGUGCAGGAUGAAGGCCUUCUGGGUUGUAAACUGCUUUUAUCUGGGAAGAAAACACCUUUGCGAAGGGAACUGACGGUACCAGAUGAAUAAGCACCGGCUAACUCCGUGCCAGCAGCCGCGGUAAUACGGAGGGUGCAAGCGUUGUCCGGAUUUAUUGGGUUUAAAGGGUGCGUAGGCGGCCUUAUAAGUCAGUGGUGAAAGCCCAUCGCUCAACGAUGGAACUGCCAUUGAUACUGUAAGGCUUGAGUACAGACGAGGUAGGCGGAAUUGAUGGUGUAGCGGUGAAAUGCAUAGAUACCAUCAAGAACACCGGUUGCGUAGGCAGCUUACUAGGCUGUAACUGACGCUGAGGCACGAAAGCGUGGGGAGCGAACAGG
Molecule: ribosomal RNA, 419 nt
Filed under: uncultured bacterium
Lineage: Bacteria
Description: bacterial SSU rRNA
Rfam family: Bacterial small subunit ribosomal RNA
Source: RNAcentral